This 497-nucleotide ribosomal RNA is filed under the name uncultured bacterium. RNAcentral's name for it is "partial 16S ribosomal RNA". It matches the Rfam family "Bacterial small subunit ribosomal RNA", at positions 28 to 507 of the family's 1533-position model. The record is from RNAcentral.
GAUGAACGCUGGCGGCGUGCCUAAUACAUGCAAGUCGAGCGAACGGACGAGAAGCUUGCUUCUCUGAUGUUAGCGGCGGACGGGUGAGUAACACGUGGAUAACCUACCUAUAAGACUGGGAUAACUUCGGGAAACCGGAGCUAAUACCGGAUAAUAUUUUGAACCGCAUGGUUCAAAAGUGAAAGACGGUCUUGCUGUCACUUAUAGAUGGAUCCGCGCUGCAUUAGCUAGUUGGUAAGGUAACGGCUUACCAAGGCAACGAUGCAUAGCCGACCUGAGAGGGUGAUCGGCCACACUGGAACUGGGAUACGGUCCAGACUCCUACGGGAGGCAGCAGUAGGGAAUCUUCCGCAAUGGGCGAAAGCCUGACGUAGCAACGCCGCGUGAGUGAUGAAGGUCUUCGGAUCGUAAAACUCUGUUAUUAGGGAAGAACAUAUGUGUAAGUAACUGUGCACAUCUUGACGGUACCUAAUCAGAAAGCCGCGGCUAACUACGUG